This 3561-nucleotide long non-coding RNA is filed under the name Malus domestica (apple). Its description in RNAcentral is "long non-coding RNA (MDOM_LNC018342)". Lineage: Eukaryota; Viridiplantae; Streptophyta; Magnoliopsida; Rosales; Rosaceae. The record is from RNAcentral.
CAUAAAUUUCUCAACUCACUUUCUUUUGAGUUAAGUCUUGGUUCACCUAACUACUAGGCUUUGAAUUUAAUGGGUAAUGUUUUGUUUUGAGUGCAUGCAAGCAUGAUUCCGCCUUUAAUUUGUUAAUUGCAUGCUAUAGAUGUUGCUCAAAUGAACAUGUUUUUCACAAAAUUUCCUUCAAGUGGUAUCAAAGCCUAGGUCUAGUAGUUGGUGAAUCCUUUUGGGUUUUGUAGUUCAUAGUUUUUGAUUUGAAUGUUGUAAUUGUUACAAGCUUUAUUCUUGCUUCUUUGAAUAUAAAUUUUGUUAGAAAAUUUGCCAUCUCAAAUGUUGUAGAUGUAGUUCAUAUGAGCAUGAAUUUUGGAGCUAAAAUUUGGUGCCAUGUUUUUGGGGAUUUUCGGCCAAAUCCAAAGGGUGGAUUUUUGGGUUCUUGUUUGUCUUAUUAAAAGUGUUUUAAGGUGACUUUUGGAACCCCUAAGUACCCUAGGAUGUUAACCCCAUUUUGAGUACUGAAAAUUUGAGUUUUAUUGAUUGAAAACAUUCAUGGAGCUCUUAUGGGUUUUCAUGGAUGUUCUUCAAUGUUCUUCGUAUGUUCUUGCCAAGAACAAAAAGGUUUGAUGUUAAGAUUCAAAGUUUUAGUUAAUUUCAUAAAGUCUUUGUUUUGUGUUGGUUGGUGUGAAAUUUCUAUCAACAAGACAUUUAUUUAAAAGGUGAUGGAAAUGUUGAUAGAGUGUUUGAAUUAAUGUACAUAAUUGAUAUUUUUCCUUACACACCUAUAUCACACCAACCCUAUUCCACUUGCAUGGCUUUAUGACUGUUGAAAAAUUUUCAAAAUUUUGUGGCUUCACUCUCUAUAACCAGCCACCCUAUUAAAAUAGGGUUCUUUUGGGGCUUUUAUGUAAUUACACAAAGUUUUGAUACUUUUGUGUAUUUGCAAUUUGACCCAAAAGUUUACGUAUUUACGUAAAGGCCCAAAAUCAUUAAAGGACAAAUUGUUGUGUUCCUUUAAUGAAGUUUUUGAAUUUGUUGAAAUUUUUGGGUUCUAGUUGUAAUUACAUGAAGUAAUGGACUUUUGUGUUUUUACAAAAUGAGCUCAAAAGUUUAAGUUUUGCAACAUAGCCCAAAAAGUUGAGGUUAUUGCAUUUUGGCCCAAAUUAGGUUGAGAACAAAAUGGUUUUGUCUCUUUAAAUGAGAAUUGGAUUUUCAUUUCAUUUAGCUCCAUUUAAAUCAAUUCUAUGGAUACAAAAACCAAAUGACAAAGUUGCAUUCAAAGUUUAAUUAGUUAAAGCGUUAAUUAAUUAAAGGGUGAUUAUGAACCUAAGCCUACGAUAAUUGAGCUAUGUGAAAGGCCGUCUCAAAUUUGUUUGAACCAUGGGAAUGUGUAGAUUAGAUUUUGGUUGUAAUUUGAUAUGAUCAAAUGUUGUAAAAGAGCAUAAGCUCUUCUUUACUUUGAAGUACUCAUUUUCUUGUUUUAUUUGAUAUGCAUGAAAUUGGAGUAGUUGGGUCCAACGCCCAAUAGGAAAACACGCCUUAAUAUGAUUAAACGCAUAACUAAAAUCAAUCACCAUCCCUAGAACGAGAUUCAACACUAGGCUCGUGUUGGAUCCAAUCAAAGGUUCAUAGUCACCCUAAGGCCCUAAGGCAACUAUAUAGUCCAUCAAUGAAUGCAAACCUUAUGUUAGUAGUACCAUAUACUCUUGCUUUAAAAACCAUUUUACAAGCAUAGUGGGAGUAUCAUGUACAACUAAAUCAAUCACAUGGACCAAUAGUUGUAAUAGGACCAAAUUGUUUUAAUAAGAUUAAAAUGAAUGUUUAUAUAUGAUGAGACCUAAAAUCCUCAACCAAACCAUUAUUAAGUUGAUAAACGUGAGAGUGCUUUGAACACUCUUUCGUGGCCUUCCACUGUGGUAGGCUCCGAUCAUUUGUGACUCGUACACUGACUUCACCCUAUCAUGGGGGAGUACAAAGUGCAUGCUUACACUUAGGAUGAAUCCUAUACGCAUACAUGAUGUUGUGAAGGUAGGCAACGAGAAUGAUCAACAUCAUAUAAUUAUGAGGUUGUUCUUGAACCCCUACCCGAACUUGCAUGGUGGGAAUGACUUAACUAAGUGCAAUGGAGCCAACAUCAUAUCAUUGUGAGGCUUCAUUCUCUAGAGGCCAAAUAAGAUGGGUACCUGCAAGAGAUGCAAAUGAGUAAGUGUACUCUCUCAUUAUUAUUGAUGCUAGCCAACAUCAUAUCAUUGUGAGGUGGGCUUGGUAAUGAUGAGUCUCCCAUACCCUACUAAGAGUUUCCUCCAAAACUCUCGAAUUCCGAUGAGGGAUAUGGAAUUUACCAAAAAUAGUGGGUGGUGCUAUUUGAUUUAAAGACCCGUAUCAAAUGGCUUAAAAUCAAUCAAUUUAUAUUCGUUAUGUAAUUGUUUACCAAUAUAUUUGCAAACGCUAUCCAAAACUUGACAAAGAAAAGCCGAAUGCUUUAGUUUCCGGACUUGGUACCACAAUCCCAAAGAUUGUCUUAAAUGGAUUGUAUAUGUACCUAAGUAGUCUAAUCCUCACAAUCUUCCUAUUGAUAAUGUAUCAUUGGAAGAACAUGUUAGAUAAGUCUAUCAUAAAGAGGACAACACUUUUAAUGUCAUAGUUCUUCACUUACAAAUCGUUGUAUGAAGAAAUAAGAGUUGCUUUGAACAAUCCUUAGCUAAUGCAAACACUAGUGCUUAUUUCUUUUUUAAAUGAACAAAGAACUUGAGAAGAAAGCACAAGGGCAUGGACACUUUAUGUGCCAUGAUUCUUCACUUACAAAUUGUUGUAUGAAGAAAUGAGAGUUGCCUUGAACAACUCUUGAAAGUUUGUAAUUAUGUUUAGAACAUAAUGGUUGGUUGACAAAAAUAGUCCAUCAACAUAUGAUGAUUUUGAAUCAUUGAGUGUUGAAGUGUUAAACCACUUCUAGAAACGGAAACUAGGCAAGGACUUCACCUUUGUGUCCCUAUCCAAAUGGUUCACUAAGUUUAUUGUAAACUAUACAGUGAACAAUAACCACACACUCUCCAAAUCGUUUGAUGUGUAUAACACAAUUGAAAUAAGUUUCAAGAGAGAUAGUGGGAGUUUAGGGACCAUGACUAUUGUAGUCAAAAGGAGAAGUCAAAUGAAGUAAGCGAAAUAAACUCCAAGGGAACAAACUUUCUUUAUGAAAGGAUGGACAUUGGAAGGGGUAUUUGCGAGAAAUGUCUUGCAAGUGUCAAGAACACACCUUUCGAAGGUGUUGUAAAUUGUUCUUGAAAAGUUCAAAACAGUUGGUUCUUCUACUUGAAUGCUUGAUUCCGUAUUAGUAACUAUGUUUUACAAUCAUUGUAAAAGUGUGGCUAAUAAAAAGAAGAAGAUUAAUGAGAGAAGAGAAAGUACUUCACAUUCGGAAUGUGAAUCAAAUGUAGAUCUCUGCAAAAGUAGAUGGUACUUACUUCCUCAUAUGAACUACCAAAGAAAUUGGAAAAACCAAAGAUUGUCUUUAUAUUCCAAUUUAAGGAACUUAAUUCCAUCACUAUAAGGGAUGGAUGAAUGUUUUGUUUGACA